Molecule: ribosomal RNA, 480 nt
Filed under: uncultured bacterium
Lineage: Bacteria
Description: bacterial SSU rRNA
Rfam family: Bacterial small subunit ribosomal RNA
Source: RNAcentral
GAGUUUGAUCCUGGCUCAGAACGAACGCUGGCGGCAGGCCUAACACAGCAAGUCGAACGUGAAGCCACCUUCGGGUGGUGGAAAGUGGCAGACGGGUGAGUAACGCGUGGGAACGUGCCUUUCGGUUCGGGAUAACCCAGGGAAACUUGGGCUAAUACCGGAUACGCCCUUCGGGGGAAAGAUUCAUCGCCGAAAGAUCGGCCCGCGUCGGAUUAGCUUGUUGGUGAGGUAAAAGCUCACCAAGGCGACGAUCCGUAGCUGGUCUGAGAGGAUGAUCAGCCACACUGGGACUGAGACACGGCCCAGACUCCUACGGGAGGCAGCAGUGGGGAAUAUUGGACAAUGGGCGCAAGCCUGAUCCAGCCAUGCCGCGUGGGUGAAGAAGGCCCUAGGGUUGUAAACCCCUUUCAGCGGGGAAGAUAAUGACGGUACCCGCAGAAGAAGCCCCGGCUAACUCCGUGCCAGCAGCCGCGGUAAUAC